AGCAGCCGCGGUAAUUCCAGCUCCAAUAGCGUAUAUUAAAGUUGUUGCAGUUAAAAAGCUCGUAGUUGAAUUUCGGGAUUGACGUAAUGGUCGUGCCUUAAGGGGUAUGAACUGUUACUGUUGAUUUCUCACCUUCUGGAGAAACUUGAUGUCCUUAAUUGGGUGUCUUGCGGAUCCAGGACCUUUACCUUGAAAAAAAUUAGAGUGUUUAAAGCAGGCAUUUUUGCUCGAAUACAUUAGCAUGGAAUAAUAGAAUAGGACGGCAUGGUUCUAUUUUGUUGGUUUCUAGGAUCACCGUAAUGAUUAAUAGGGAUAGUUGGGGGCAUUAGUAUUCAAUUGUCGGAGGUGAAAUUCUUGGAUUUAUUGAAGACUAACUACUGCGAAAGCAUUUGCCAAGGAUGUUUUCAUUAAUCAAGAACGAAAGUUAGGGGAUCGAAGACGAUCAGAUAC
This 450-nucleotide ribosomal RNA is filed under the name uncultured Glomeromycotina. RNAcentral's name for it is "SSU rRNA". It matches the Rfam family "Eukaryotic small subunit ribosomal RNA", at positions 569 to 1015 of the family's 1831-position model. Lineage: Eukaryota; Fungi; Glomeromycota. The record is from RNAcentral.